This 465-nucleotide ribosomal RNA is filed under the name uncultured bacterium. RNAcentral describes it as "partial 16S ribosomal RNA". It matches the Rfam family "Bacterial small subunit ribosomal RNA", at positions 29 to 507 of the family's 1533-position model. The record is from RNAcentral.
AUGAACGCUGGCGGCGUGCUUCACACAUGCAAGUCGAACGAUGAAGCCCAGCUUGCUGGGUGGAUUAGUGGCGAACGGGUGAGUAACACGUGAGUAACCUGCCCUUGACUCUGGGAUAAGCCUGGGAAACUGGGUCUAAUACUGGAUAUGACUUCUCAUCGCAUGGUGGGGGGUGGAAAGAUUUAUUGGUCUUGGAUGGACUCGCGGCCUAUCAGCUUGUUGGUGAGGUAAUGGCUCACCAAGGCGACGACGGGUAGCCGGCCUGAGAGGGUGACCGGCCACACUGGGACUGAGACACGGCCCAGACUCCUACGGGAGGCAGCAGUGGGGAAUAUUGCACAAUGGGCGCAAGCCUGAUGCAGCGACGCCGCGUGAGGGAUGACGGCCUUCGGGUUGUAAACCUCUUUCAGCAGGGAAGAAGCGAGAGUGACGGUACCUGCAGAAGAAGCGCCGGCUAACUACGUG